Prionailurus viverrinus (fishing cat) is the source of this 84-nucleotide non-coding RNA. The record is from the annotation of a RefSeq genome assembly. NCBI's taxonomy places the organism in Eukaryota, Metazoa, Chordata, Mammalia, Carnivora, Felidae.
GCCUGGGUGGCUCAGUUGGUUGAGCAUCUGACUUUGACUCAGGUCAUGAUCUCAUGUUCGUGGGUUUGAGCCCCAUGUUAGGCU